UGAGUGAGUGUGGACGACGCUGGAUCUUCUCACCGGCUGCCAUGAUCGAACAAACAGCAGAAAUUAAGGCAGAGUCUGUAUAUGUGGACACUCACUAUUUGCCCUCUCUACAGUUUCUCUUGUCUGUCCCCCACAAGCAGAGACCCACUGAUAGACCGCUGUUACCAGUUCUAGGGCUGACACAUCCGCACACGUCCACAUCACAAGUGUAUCCUGUAAAGAUCAAGGAGGAGCAUCACAACAGUUUCGUUGAAGUAGACAUUCUAGUAUAAGCUUGAUGAGUACACACCAGGUUUUGCAGCUAAUGCAUGCCAAAGGAGGAGCAGCUAGUUGCAAGAUGCAUCCUCUGCUGGACAGUUUAAAUACACAGAACAUUGAGGAAAAAAGAGAUGCUGUUGUCUGCUGCCUCAGUAACUACCUUGGGGAAAGACAAGAAGAUAUGUUCCAUGACUGGCAGGAAUGUGAGGAGUACACAGAAAAAACGAUGAAGGAGAUUGUGGAGCACAAUUUGUCUAUUGUGAUCGGGGGAAAACAAGUGAUGGAAGAAUGGGGAAGCCAAACAGAGGCAUGCAUACUGCUGGGACUCAUAUUUUUUUCUCUUCAAUCAUUUGCUUCACACACAGACAAAGACCCAUCCACUGUCUCUCAGCCCUCUCCAUUGCUCUGUGUUUUCCCCAAUAUUUCCUAUACAGAAAAGGAAUACUAAUGGAAAGUGGCCUAAAGAAUUUUGAUCUCACCUACCGUCUUUUCUUCCCCAUUGGUUUAUUUAUUUUAUUCUCAUCCUAUCUGCGAGAGUGAGAGUAAGGACAAAAAAUAAAGAAUUUUGUUUUACUUUUAUCCGGAUAUUUGAUACUGUACAUGCACAAAAACAACCACAAGUCUGUGUGUGUGCUUUUGGCUUUUAAAAUAGAAUAAGUGACCUUUGAAGUUUUGUAUGCAAGUAGCCAAUUACCAGAAAAAACUUUUGAAAAUGAGUAUAGUGAGUUAUAAAACAGGGUUUAUUUGUUCAUUGUUGUGUGAAGCUGUUGUACUUUAUUUAGCACUCUUUUCUGUGUUUUAAUAAUUUGGUGUCCUAAAACAGGUAUAUGUUUUAUUAUUCAACAUUGACACAUUUGAUAGAUCAGUGAGUUAUAAAACAGGUAUAUACUUGAAAUGUUGUGUAAAGCUGUUGUGCUGCACUAUAUUUUGAGUGUGUUUUAGGAUUUUUUUUAAUAAAACAUUAAGUUGAUAA
This 1231-nucleotide long non-coding RNA is filed under the name Danio rerio (zebrafish). Its description in RNAcentral is "lncRNA si:dkeyp-92f10.1 (ENSDARG00000101617.2)". Lineage: Eukaryota; Metazoa; Chordata; Actinopteri; Cypriniformes; Danionidae. The record is from RNAcentral.